RNAcentral lists this ribosomal RNA (253 nucleotides) under uncultured bacterium. RNAcentral describes it as "partial 16S ribosomal RNA". It matches the Rfam family "Bacterial small subunit ribosomal RNA", at positions 524 to 776 of the family's 1533-position model. The record is from RNAcentral.
GACGUAGGAGGCGAGCGUUGUCCGGAUUCAUUGGGCGUAAAGGGCUCGUAGGCGGUUUGUCGCGUCGGGAGUGAAAACUCAGGGCUUAACCCUGAGCCUGCUUCCGAUACGGGCAGACUAGAGGUAUGCAGGGGAGAACGGAAUUCCUGGCGUAGCGGUGAAAUGCGCAGAUAUCAGGAGGAACACCGGUGGCGAAGGCGGUUCUCUGGGCAUUACCUGACGCUGAGGAGCGAAAGUGUGGGGAGCGAACAGG